GACGAACGCUGGCGGCGUGCUUAACACAUGCAAGUCGAACGCUGAAGCUUGGUGCUUGCACUGGGUGGAUGAGUGGCGAACGGGUGAGUAAUACGUGAGUAACCUGCCCUUGACUCUGGGAUAAGCCUGGGAAACUGGGUCUAAUACUGGAUACGACAUGUCACCGCAUGGUGGUGUGUGGAAAGGGUUUUACUGGUUUUGGAUGGGCUCACGGCCUAUCAGCUUGUUGGUGGGGUAAUGGCUCACCAAGGCGACGACGGGUAGCCGGCCUGAGAGGGUGACCGGCCACACUGAGACUGAGACACGGCCCAGACUCCUACGGGAGGCAGCAGUGGGGAAUAUUGCACAAUGGGCGGAAGCCUGAUGCAGCGACGCCGCGUGAGGGAUGACGGCCUUCGGGUUGUAAACCUCUUUCAGCACGGAAGAAGCGAAAGUGACGGUACGUGCAGAAGAAGCGCCGGCUAACUACGUG
This 472-nucleotide ribosomal RNA is filed under the name uncultured bacterium. Its description in RNAcentral is "partial 16S ribosomal RNA". It matches the Rfam family "Bacterial small subunit ribosomal RNA", at positions 28 to 507 of the family's 1533-position model. The record is from RNAcentral.